Molecule: non-coding RNA, 209 nt
Organism: Schizosaccharomyces pombe (fission yeast)
Lineage: Eukaryota; Fungi; Ascomycota; Schizosaccharomycetes; Schizosaccharomycetales; Schizosaccharomycetaceae
Source: the annotation of a GenBank genome assembly
CACGUGCCAUUUCGACAACGCGACUGAAACGACAAGCCUUCUUAGCUGCUUCAUCAAGAUCAUCAAAUGAGAAAAUACGGAGACCUGAGUUGUUGAUUACCUCUUUGGCAGCACCUUGGUUGGUUCCUUGAAGUCUGCAAAUAAUAGGUAUGUUCAGAUUCAACGCUGAUACUACCGAGAUAAGACCUUUGGCAAUAACGUCGCAUCGA